RNAcentral lists this unclassified non-coding RNA (288 nucleotides) under Hevea brasiliensis (rubber tree). The record is from RNAcentral. Lineage: Eukaryota; Viridiplantae; Streptophyta; Magnoliopsida; Malpighiales; Euphorbiaceae.
AUCUAAUUAUAUCCCCUGGCUUGAUUUCCAAAACUACAAACCUAAACUAUAAUCCACCAAGAAUGAUUACAAGAAAUGAACUCUUGUGGGGUUGCAGUGAAGGAGAAAAAGAGACUGCAAAACCCAUUAAAAUAUCACUGUAAACGACAUCCAUAAUCAUUCUCCUUUCCUUCUUCUCCUUGCCAUCUAUCUUCUUUUCUCCUGCGCGCUGCCUUUCCUCUAUUCCCUUACCGUCGAUUUCGAUAGUCCCUCCUCCUUUCUUAGUCACCAAUGGUGAUGGGUAACGGG